GCCCCCAUCGUCUAGUGGCCUAGGAUCUCGCGUUCUCAGCGCGAAGACCGGGGUUCGAGUCCCCGUGGGGGUA
Molecule: transfer RNA, 73 nt
Filed under: Gemmatimonadota bacterium
Lineage: Bacteria; Pseudomonadati; Gemmatimonadota
Also listed under: 1 other name
Description: Gemmatimonadetes bacterium (beach sand metagenome) tRNA-Glu
Rfam family: tRNA
About the family: Transfer RNA (tRNA) molecules are approximately 80 nucleotides in length. Their secondary structure includes four short double-helical elements and three loops (D, anti-codon, and T loops).
Source: RNAcentral